RNAcentral lists this ribosomal RNA (406 nucleotides) under uncultured bacterium. RNAcentral's name for it is "partial 16S ribosomal RNA". It matches the Rfam family "Bacterial small subunit ribosomal RNA", at positions 30 to 526 of the family's 1533-position model. The record is from RNAcentral.
AUUGAACGCUGGCGGCAGGCUUAACACAUGCAAGUCGAGCGAGCGGCGGACGGGUGAGUAAUGUCUGGGAACCUGCCUGAUGGAGGGGGAUAACUACUGGAAACGGUAGCUAAUACCGCAUACCAUCAGAUGGGCCCAUAUGGGAUUAGCUAGUAGGUGGGGUAAUGGCUCACCUAGGCGACGAUCCCUAGCUGGUCUGAGAGGACGACCAGCCACACUGGAACUGAGACACGGUCCAGACUCCUACGGGAGGCAGCAGUGGGGAAUAUUGGACAAUGGGCGCAAGCCUGAUGCAGCCAUGCCGCGUGUGUGAAGAAGGCCUUCGGGUUGUAAAGCACUUUCAGCGGGGAGGCGGUACUCGCAGAAGAAGCACCGGCUAACUACGUGCCAGCAGCCGCGGUAAUAC